This is a long non-coding RNA of Brassica rapa (field mustard), 1843 nucleotides long. RefSeq lists it as uncharacterized. The record is from RefSeq and is a predicted model, not a curated record. Lineage: Eukaryota; Viridiplantae; Streptophyta; Magnoliopsida; Brassicales; Brassicaceae.
AUAUGGGGCUGGCCUUUGCAGACAUCAGUAUUGUUCGGUCAGGUUUCUCCACAAGUUCAAUCACGGUGUUAUCAGGCCGAGUCACUGAGUGGUCAGAAGGGAGAUUCGGUUACUCUAUACGUGAGGCCAAUACUUCGUGGGGGAAAACUAAAUGGAGCACAUCGGUUCUCCAACUUGAUCCCAACACGUGGGUUCUUGAGUAUAACCUAAGCUCGGUGGUGGAGGGUUCGACUUUGGUGUCACUAGCAACUGAUCUUCUGGCACACAUGAUGUUCCAAGCAGCAAAGAAUGUUAACCGGGAGCUUUUCUGGAUGUUUUCAGCCUCACGGAAUCUUAUAGUGUAGUGGUAUUAGAGGGUACCACAAUGACACCAACUUAGAAGCUUAUAAGGAACAAAUGGAUUGGUUUUUUUGGUUUCUUCAUUCCAAGCAUUGACAUCUUGUCAUCUUUUAGGUCGUAUAGUCAUGAACAUAAGUUCUUGUGACUGUUACUGACUUACUGUGUAGCUGUUUCAUAUUCGAAAGAUAAUUCAUUUUUUUGGUUAAUCCAUCACUUUUACCAUUUAAAAUGUAAAUAAAUUGACAAAAGGUAUUUUAGUAUAUUCAUGGGUAUAUCAAGUGAGAUAAAGCUUAAAGGAAUCACUGAUGUAAGAAAAAGCUUAAAAGAGUCACUUCUGUAUAGAAAACACAAUGACAUUUAUAAACUUGAUAAUCUCUAGCUGAAAUUUUGUUUUAUCAUUUUUAGUAAAAUAAACAAAUGGACUCUAACCAGCUGCUUCAUAGGGAUUGGUAAGUCCACAAAAUUGUAAGAUUGCAAUCCGGCACUAAUUACUUAUUAAGAGGGUUUGAAAACGAUCUUGAAUCGGACUGUGUAUUAUGGAAUUAUCUACAACUUUCACAACUUCAAGAAUCAUGUGAAAUCUUGAUAUGUCUCCCACUAAUGGAGCGUUUUUGUCGACAAGUUUCUACAUGUCCCUACAAUGACAACAACCCUAACUCCCUAAGUGAUAGAGAUUGACACCCCCAGCCCAAGGAAAACAACCACACAUUUUGCAUUUGAUGAGAUUCCUCUUGUGAUAAAUCCAAUAAAACUAUAUGAUGAAUUCAAAAUAAUACAAAAAUAGAUAUUGAUCCCAAAAUACAUAAGAAAAUGACAACUUGUGGGCUAAAUAAUGUUGUACACUCUAUCUGACACCUUGACACCACUUCUUAUUUAUACACCAAACAAUGAUAAGGUCAUAAAGGCCCCUAGUAUUAAAAUAAUAUUUAUAAGUUCCAUACUAUUGUCCAACUAGUAUGUAGUAUCAAUAUUUGUUUGUAUAAAUAUUCAUGAGUGAUGUUGUGUGACUUGUCACUCACCCAGAUCCCAGUUUUGACAGGGGGUAACAUCGAUAUAGAUUGAUAAAAUCUAAGUAUCGCUGUUGGUUAAAGAAAGUUGCCAUGUAUAGAUUUCUCAAGUAGUAUUCAAUGAUAUUAUUCGGUUAUUUGGGCUUUUGGAAAUUCUAUUGAACUUAACCAAAGUUUUAUAUCAGUUAGAUUUUAGUUUAGCUUAUUUAAAAAAAAUUGGAUAAAUUCAGUUAAAUUAGGUUAAUUUUAGUUAGUUCGGUUCCAAAUUUAGUUAGUUUGGUUAGUUUGAUUCGGAUUUUUGGUAAGGUUUGAUUAUAACUUUUGGAGGUAAAAGUAGAAAACCAAAGUAAUUAAUUGAUUGUCAGCUUAAACCGGAAACCAAAUUGAACAAAAAAUUACCGAAUCAAAUCAAAUUCUAGAACCAAAUUGAACGAAAGCCGAAAAUUUUGGCAAGUUCAAAAAAAAAUCUCAGCAUAGUGACAAGCAUCACGAUUUAA